UGCCAGCCGCCGCGGUAAUACGAAGGGACCUAGCGUAGUUCGGAAUUACUGGGCUUAAAGAGUUCGUAGGUGGUUGAAAAAGUUGGUGGUGAAAUCCCAGAGCUUAACUCUGGAACUGCCAUCAAAACUUUUCAGCUAGAGUAUGAUAGAGGAAAGCAGAAUUUCUAGUGUAGAGGUGAAAUUCGUAGAUAUUAGAAAGAAUACCAAUUGCGAAGGCAGCUCACUAAACUAUUACCGACGCUCAUGAACGAAAGCGUGGGGAGCGAACAGGAUUAGAUA
RNAcentral lists this ribosomal RNA (279 nucleotides) under uncultured bacterium. RNAcentral describes it as "partial 16S ribosomal RNA". It matches the Rfam family "Bacterial small subunit ribosomal RNA", at positions 506 to 784 of the family's 1533-position model. The record is from RNAcentral.